Molecule: long non-coding RNA, 734 nt
Organism: Bombus huntii
Lineage: Eukaryota; Metazoa; Arthropoda; Insecta; Hymenoptera; Apidae
Exons: 3
Source: RefSeq, a predicted model, not a curated record
AAACAACGCUACCUCGUCGUCGACAUUAUAUCAUGCUAGCGCAUCAUCAUAGAGUUCAGUACUGUUUAAUCUGUUGAGAUAAAUGUCAUGUUGGUAUGAUCACUAGUUCCUACAUGCGAAGUUGGUACGACUUCUAACGACGCCCUUUUGUUUUGGCUUCUGCCACGUGUUAAUUAUCUGAGAGUAUCCGGUGUGUUCAUAUGGCUGUACAUGGUGGUGAAAUACAGAAUAUAAAAACUGAAUCUGUGUGAAUCAAUUAAAUAUCGAACUCCAAAACCUAUUUAAUAACAGGGGUAGUGCAGUAACCGAAAUGGAAAUUAUUCUACAUGCAAAAGCUGUACUAAUUUUGUGUAAGUAAUUUAGAAAUAUAUGAGGUCUUGCAAAUCAAAUAAUUUGAUGUAGGAAAUUCUUGAUUUUCAUAAAAUAGUUCUGAACUGCUAUGACUGCGUGGAAACGAAGAAGUUCGGAAAUGAAAUAUAGAGAAAUGUGUUUGUGUUUUAUCUAUUCUUGUUGAGUAGUGGAGAACCCAUAUUCUUAUACCAUAUACCUACACUGUGUAUGGUUGACUUUGUCUUUAUGUCAGAUUACCAUUAAAGCAUUAAUUUCUGUCCAUAACAUGAAUGUUUUCGCUAUAAUAUAAGUUGGGUUAUAUAUAUUUUUCCACUCGUACAAAAUACCAAAAGUUGCCUUUGCCAAAUCAAUUUAUAUAUUGAUCACUACUUGUGAAACAAUUG